RNAcentral lists this ribosomal RNA (394 nucleotides) under uncultured Paraphysomonas. RNAcentral describes it as "partial small subunit ribosomal RNA". It matches the Rfam family "Eukaryotic small subunit ribosomal RNA", at positions 30 to 432 of the family's 1831-position model. Lineage: Eukaryota; Chrysophyceae; Chromulinales. The record is from RNAcentral.
GCUUGUCUCAAAGAUUAAGCCAUGCAUGUCUAAGUAUAAACAAAUUUAUAGUGAAACUGCGAAUGGCUCAUUAUAUCAGUUAUAGUUUAUUUGGCGAUAAAAACUACUUGGAUAACCGUAGUAAUUCUAGAGCUAAUACAUGCAUCAAACCUCGACUAUUUUGGAAGAGGUGUAUUUAUUAGAUGGAAACCAAUGCGGGGCAACCCGGAUUCAGGUGAUUCAUAAUAACUUUCGGAUCGAUCUUCGGAUCGAUGCAUCAUUCAAGUUUCUGCCCUAUCAGCUUUGGAUGGUAGGGUAUUGGCCUACCAUGGCUUUAACGGGUAACGGAGAAUUAGGGUUCGAUUCCGGAGAGGGAGCCUGAGAAACGGCUACCACAUCCAAGGAAGGCAGCAGG